This 21-nucleotide non-coding RNA is filed under the name Caenorhabditis elegans. The record is from RNAcentral. Lineage: Eukaryota; Metazoa; Nematoda; Chromadorea; Rhabditida; Rhabditidae.
UUCGAUUUUUGUAAUCAUAAU